RNAcentral lists this ribosomal RNA (376 nucleotides) under uncultured bacterium. Its description in RNAcentral is "bacterial SSU rRNA". It matches the Rfam family "Bacterial small subunit ribosomal RNA", at positions 523 to 898 of the family's 1533-position model. The record is from RNAcentral.
AUACGUAGGUGGCAAGCGUUGUCCGGAUUUACUGGGCGUAAAGGGAGCGUAGGUGGAUAUUUAAGUGGGAUGUGAAAUACUCGGGCUUAACCUGGGUGCUGCAUUCCAAACUGGAUAUCUAGAGUGCAGGAGAGGAAAGGAGAAUUCCUAGUGUAGCGGUGAAAUGCGUAGAGAUUAGGAAGAAUACCAGUGGCGAAGGCGCCUUUCUGGACUGUAACUGACACUGAGGCACGAAAGCGUGGGGAGCAAACAGGAUUAGAUACCCUGGUAGUCCACGCCGUAAACGAUGGAUACUAGGUGUAGGGGGCGUUAGGCCUUCUGUGCCGGAGUUAACGCAAUAAGUAUCCCGCCUGGGGAGUACGGCCGCAAGGUUGAA